CUACGGGUCGCUCCAGUUUCGAAUAAUUCACAAUGGGCGCAAGCCUGAUGAUGCGACGUUACGUGAAGGAAGAAAGCUUUAAGUUGUAAACUUCUGUCGUUAAGGAACAAAAAAUUAAGUAGUACUUUUUAUAUUGAGUUAACUUAAAAAGGAAGCAGUGGCUAAUUUCGUGCCAGCAGCCGCGGUAAUACGGGAACUGCAAGCGUUGCUCGGUUUUAUUGGGCGUAAAGAGUACGUAGGCUGUUAUAUAUGUUAAUUGUUAAAUUUUAAAGUUAAUCUUUAAAUUUGCUGUUAAAACUAUAUAACUAGAAUUUCAAAGAGGUAAGUGGAAUUGCAAGUGUAGCGGUGAAAUGCGUAGAUAUUUGAAGGAACACCAAUGGCGAAAGCAACUUACUGGGUGAUAAUUGACGCUAAAGUACGAAAGUAUAGGGAGCAAAAGGGAUUAGAUACCCCGGUAGUC
This 460-nucleotide ribosomal RNA is filed under the name uncultured bacterium. Its description in RNAcentral is "partial 16S ribosomal RNA". It matches the Rfam family "Bacterial small subunit ribosomal RNA", at positions 339 to 795 of the family's 1533-position model. The record is from RNAcentral.